UACGUAGGGACCAAGCGUUGUUCGGAUUUACUGGGCGUAAAGGGCGCGUAGGCGGUGUGUUAAGUCAGCUGUGAAAUCUCCGAGCUUAACUCGGAACGGUCAGCUGAUACUGAUGUGCUAGAGUGCAGAAGGGGCAAUCGGAAUUCUUGGUGUAGCGGUGAAAUGCGUAGAUAUCAAGAGGAACACCUGAGGUGAAGACGGGUUGCUGGGCUGACACUGACGCUGAGGCGCGAAAGCCAGGGGAGCAAACGGG
RNAcentral lists this ribosomal RNA (253 nucleotides) under uncultured bacterium. RNAcentral describes it as "partial 16S ribosomal RNA". It matches the Rfam family "Bacterial small subunit ribosomal RNA", at positions 524 to 776 of the family's 1533-position model. The record is from RNAcentral.